UCCGGGGUAGCUCAGUUGGCAGCAGCGACGGAUUGUUAAUCCGUAGGUCGUGGGUUCGAGCCCCACCCCCGGAGCCA
RNAcentral lists this transfer RNA (77 nucleotides) under Acidimicrobiia bacterium. RNAcentral's name for it is "tRNA-Asn". It matches the Rfam family "tRNA". Rfam says of the family: Transfer RNA (tRNA) molecules are approximately 80 nucleotides in length. Lineage: Bacteria; Bacillati; Actinomycetota; Acidimicrobiia. RNAcentral also lists the same sequence under 1 other name. The record is from RNAcentral.